UACGUAGGGGGCAAGCGUUGUCCGGAUUUACUGGGCGUAAAGAGCGCGUAGGCGGAACGUUAAGUCCGGUUUGAAAGCCCCCGGCUCAACCGGGGAGAGUGGCUGGAAACUGGCGUUCUGGAGGGCGAUAGAGGAGAGUGGAAUUCCUGGUGUAGCGGUGAAAUGCGUAGAGAUCAUGAGGAAGACCAGUGGCGAAGGCGGGUCUCUGGACAGUUCCUGACGCUGAGGCACGAAGGCCAGGGGAGCAAACGGG
This 253-nucleotide ribosomal RNA is filed under the name uncultured bacterium. RNAcentral's name for it is "partial 16S ribosomal RNA". It matches the Rfam family "Bacterial small subunit ribosomal RNA", at positions 524 to 776 of the family's 1533-position model. The record is from RNAcentral.